Molecule: long non-coding RNA, 246 nt
Filed under: Phoenix dactylifera (date palm)
Lineage: Eukaryota; Viridiplantae; Streptophyta; Magnoliopsida; Arecales; Arecaceae
Description: long non-coding RNA (PDAC_LNC007658)
Source: RNAcentral
AUAUUUUCCUUACAAGUUCAUAAGUACUAUAUAAAAUUAAAUAGGGUUAAAAAUAGAAUCGGAUAUUCGAAUACGAAUCAAGUAGUUGUCUAUCCAUAUCAUAUCCAUGUUUCUUUGACGAAUAUGGAUAUAGAUAUAGAUAUUAGUUGUAUACUGAGGAUGAUAAUGUUAUUUUGAUGAUUAACACAACCAUUGAGGCCAUAUCAAAUUAGAAAUGCAAAUUAACUCGAUACAUCAUUGAUAAAU